AAAAGACUCUGAUGCUGGGAAAGAUUGUGGGCAGGAGGAGAAGGGGACGACAGGAUGAGAUGGUUGGAUGGCAUCACUGACUCAAUGGACAUGAGUUUGGGUGAACUCCAGGAGCUGGUGAUGGACAGGGAGGCCUGACGUGCUUCAGUUCAUGGGGUUGCAAAGAGUCGGACACGACUGAAUGACUGAACUGAACUGAACUGAACUGAACUCCAAAUUCCCAAUCCAUUUUUCCCCGCCCUCUCUCUUGGUAACCACAGGUCUAUUCUCUAUGUCUGUGAGUCUGUGUCUGUUUCAUGGGUAAGUUUACUUAUGUCAUAUUUUAGAUUCCACAUUUAAGUGGUAUCAUACGAUAUUUGUCUUUCUCUUUGUGACUGACUUCACUUAGUAUGAUAACCUCUAGGUCCAUCUACGUUGCUGCAGAUGGUUUUAUUUCACGCUUUUUUAUGGCUGACCACCUGUCUUUCUUUAAUGGAACAAGAUGGAUUUGUAGACUGACUCACAUAACACAGUGGAAGUCCUUCAAUCAUUGGCCUAAGAUGACAAAGCUGAUUCCAUCUAGAACAUUCCCAUUUCUUGUGGUACAUGAAGAAACAUUUGGUGAGCACUCGCCAAAGCA
Molecule: long non-coding RNA, 619 nt
Filed under: Capra hircus (goat)
Lineage: Eukaryota; Metazoa; Chordata; Mammalia; Artiodactyla; Bovidae
Description: lncRNA (ENSCHIG00000001493.1)
Source: RNAcentral